RNAcentral lists this ribosomal RNA (502 nucleotides) under uncultured bacterium. RNAcentral's name for it is "bacterial SSU rRNA". It matches the Rfam family "Bacterial small subunit ribosomal RNA", at positions 29 to 525 of the family's 1533-position model. The record is from RNAcentral.
AGUGAACGCUGGCGGCAGGCCUAAUACAUGCAAGUCGAACGGCAGCACAGCAGAGCUUGCUCUGUGGGUGGCGAGUGGCGGACGGGUGAGGAAUACAUGGGAAUCUGCCCAGUCGUGGGGGAUAACGUAGGGAAACUUACGCUAAUACCGCAUGCGCCCUUCGGGGAAGCCGGGGACCGUAAGGCCUGGCGCGAUUGGAUGAGCCCAUGUCGGAUUAGCUAGUUGGCGGGGUAAAGGCCCACCAAGGCGACGAUCCGUAGCUGGUCUGAGAGGAUGAUCAGCCACACUGGAACUGAGACACGGUCCAGACUCCUACGGGAGGCAGCAGUAGGGAAUAUUGGACAAUGGGCGCAAGCCUGAUCCAGCCAUGCCGCGUGAGUGAAGAAGGCCCUCGGGUUGUAAAGCUCUUUGUCCGGAAAGAAAGCGCCGGGUUAAUACCCUGGCGUCCUGACGGUACCGAGAAUAAGCACCGGCUAACUUCGUGCCAGCAGCCGCGGUAAUC